Trifolium pratense (red clover) is the source of this 732-nucleotide long non-coding RNA. RefSeq lists it as uncharacterized. Lineage: Eukaryota; Viridiplantae; Streptophyta; Magnoliopsida; Fabales; Fabaceae. The record is from RefSeq and is a predicted model, not a curated record. The transcript has 3 exons.
CAUUGCAGACGCUGCAUGUGGUGGAACGAUAUGGGAGGGAGAAGAAGGAGGUCGUCGUCGGGCUAUUGUGGGAGAGGGAUAGAGUAUGGGAAGGGGGGAUAAAAUCAAACCAGGAAGAGACAUAUAAUGAUCCCAAGACGGAGCGAUCUAUGGGUGGUUUCAAAUGAGAGGUAAUGAAGUCUUGAUUAAAUGCAUCGAGAUGUAUUUCAAACAUAGGAACUGAUGCAGUAACGAAGUUUUGAUACAGUGAUGGAAGAAUAAAAUAACCGAUAGAGGAAGCAAGUGUGGAAUGUGAAAUAAAAGAAGUUGAAGAUAACAAAAUGAGAGGUUUGGUAAUGGAAGUACUCCUAAUUAGCAGGAUCUUGGUGUGUUGGAAUUACAAGCUAAUGCUAGUACUCUAGUAGAGAUUAAAACACGGGAUUUUAUGUAAAAAAUCCACUCCCCAUGUAAUCUGCUCCUGCUGGUGUGAGUACAUGUCAAAUGUCACCUAAUCACCUAAUGCUAAUGCUAGUACUUGUUGUUUUAAAAUGACCCAGGAGUAUUUGUCUUAUAUUUUUGUACUAAUGCAAAAUCCUAAAGUAAACUAAUGAUGUAAUCCAAUAGUCCACAGACGUGCACUUUGUUCACUCAACCCACAUAUAGUACACAGACGUGCACUUUGUUUAGUAGGAAUAGAUCCACCAAGUACAAAAAAAUAUUACAGUUCCCAAUCUUGUAAAUUUGUUGUGUAUA